This is a long non-coding RNA of Culex pipiens pallens (northern house mosquito), 2742 nucleotides long. RefSeq lists it as uncharacterized. NCBI's taxonomy places the organism in Eukaryota, Metazoa, Arthropoda, Insecta, Diptera, Culicidae. The transcript is spliced from 4 exons. The record is from RefSeq and is a predicted model, not a curated record.
GAUCAUCAAUUACACGGAACAAAAUCCGGUCGGCGGAUCCGACAAAUAUUCGCGAUGAAUUCGAAAACAUUCAAUGUUUCCGAAAUCAAGGAAAAUGUUUGCAAAAUCGGAAGAAUUGUUUUCGAUGUUGAAGCUAAAUGUUUACGAAAUCGCAAACAUCUUGUUUGCGGCGCAUUUUUCUGAGCGAUCCGCCGCAGCCACCGCAGCUGAUGCGUUACGCUGUCAGAAUCAGCUGGUCGCGCUACCUAAAUUUAAAGUAAACAAACUUCAAAUCGAGCGCAAAGGAAAAAACGAACAACAGUGGGUCGCGUCCCGGGAUUUAGGUGAUUUAGGUUCCUCUCAACUGGCCGGAUUUAGACAUUUGGUAGUGAUGGAUCUGCUUCGGAAAAACCACGGAAUCUACAUCGAUCGCUGGAACCAAAAUUUAGCUCCCUGCUGGCUCGACCGGAACAAUUUUAUAAGAUUGUUCGUUCGCUCUCAGUUCUCGACCGAUUGUAGAUCGGUAUAAUCCGGUUUCCGCUGAUCUCACGACUGCCGGUUGCUCCCCGGAAACAUGAUUGUGAUUCGAAAGUGUGAAACCUAAACAAUUUUAUGUGAUAAGUCUUACCAGCACGGAAUCAAAUAUUGGUUUGACGACGGUUGUGCAUUCCGUGACUUUCCGAAGCAUACCCUGCCCUGCCGGAGAACCUAAUCCAAAUCAAUGCCAUUUAGAUUAAAAAUGCUGCUCCUAAAGCUGAUGGAAUAACGGAACGAAUCGAGCAGGCGGGUCAGUUUAGUCACUUGGUGUCGGAAGCCGUAUCCGCGCCAUUAAGAACUUUUUCACCGGAAGUGUUACGAGAGCACGGAUUCCAUCAGAACCGCCCUCGUGCCAUCAAACGGAAUCCGAGGAGCGUCAGGAGAUCAACACAGGCCUACUGCUCCGGGUAAAAAUUGCACUGAAGGAAUUGGUAGCACCUGGUUCAUGGACCCGCCUGAUAACCGAGAAUGGCCUUGACCGAGUUUACCUUUAGAAACUCUCAGCAACGACUUGUGUCCACGAUUUAAGAUGGAAGCCAAAUGAGGUUAUUCAAAAUUGUCCAGAAAGAUUCCGGGAAAGCAGAAUCGACUAUUUCGCAGCAAUUCGAGAAUGGAAGUCCUAGCAGCGAAGGACUACCUCCCAGUAGGAACACCAGCUGGCUGCGGUCACUUUCGAGAAGCUGAUUUUUUUCCGAGCUGAUUCGAUCUUGUAAGGUUAGUUGACCGAAACCGUUGAAUGAGCAAAAUAUUUUACCGGAAUUAUUCAUUUUCAGCUGCUUGCUCCACUGUUCCCGGCCACCCAACUUUUUAUAGCCAAAGGAGGCUCGCUCUGUGGUCCAAACCAGUACAUCGGAAGGAAUCUCCGCCAGGGAAACUCUCUGCGUUCAUUCCUUAUUCACGAAAGUCUCUAUUCGAUUCGCGUCUGGCCAAGCAAAAGAGUUCAAACGCGGUUGAGUCGCGUCGUUAUGUAAAGAUCCCGAAAGAACCACUCUUGGACAUGUUAUAGCUCGCAUGUGUUCGACGACUCGAAGAGUGAACAGAUAGAACCGGAGACGGUCGCUGGGAGCUUGCCGCUUCCCGAGCUACCAAGAGGCCGUUGACGCGGAUCGGAACGCCGCUGAGAUCUCCUAAGUUGAGCUCGAUGGUUUAAAACAACGUCACCUGUCUCCAAUGCAUCCGUUUCGAGCACUUGAUGGUGGAGGAAAACCAAGCAAACGAUUUUGCGGAAAGUCAGCUGACACGGGAAGUGGACUCAUCUCAGCAGUGUCAGCAGAUCACGGGAGGCUUCAGGGAGUUUGAAAGCACCAUGCUCGACACCAGCAACGUUGAGGUCCCCACUCCCCCUUGGUAGCUGAUCUGGAUCUGGCCGAAUCAACUGUUGCUGCUACAACCGCGGUGUAAAGCAGUCGGUUCCGGUUGGCCAGCAUUUUUUAAGAUCGAAGCUGGUGAUUCGCAAGUCGGUGUCGCUGGUGUUGCGAAGUACCGCAGGAUUAUGAGGUGUACGACUGGGAAAAAGAUUGCCUCGUUCUGGCGGAGAUCGUCGAGCGGCACCGCCUGACCUACGCGCUUCCGAAGAGCGGUGGCAAAACUCUCGUUGCCGAAAUGCUGCGGGGCUGAUGUUGCGCAACCGGAACGGCAUGUUCAUCGGCACAUUCAGAACACGUGUAGUUCGCGCAGAAAUAUGCCCUGGCGCCGUUUGCCGUCAAUUUGGCAUUCCUGGUGAAAUAUUUCCGCGAUGGCAAGGAAGUGAUUUCACCACGCAAGGAAGAAAAAAACAAAUUUUUGUUAGCAAUCAAAAAUUUGCUGGUCUAUUAGACGGACUAAUCCAGAUUAAUCAAACAAAAGCGAACGGUUAAUUGAAAAUAAAAUAAAAAUGAUGUUUACCAACAAAAUUCUCCUUCUUCUUCUUCUUCUUCUUAUUGGAAUGCACAAUUUUAUUCGAACUCCAACGGUCAAUUUGAAUAGCAGAAAUUUGAAGUGGCUGCGUGCUGCGUGCUUUUGACAGAGCAGCGUUACGGAUUCAAAAGAGCGUUACGUUUGCGAUAUCGGAAAUCAUCGUUUGCGAUAUUGGAAGCAAUGCUUCCUGCUGACGGGUGCAAACCAAGAUUUGCGAUUUUUAGAGUAAAUCGGAAGCAAAGUUUGCGAUUCCGCAAACCGGAUUUUGUUCCGUGUAGCUAGGGCUUAAAUUACGUUUAAAAUCCGGUCACUUCGGUCCUCUUGGUACAC